CACUUACAUACCUAAUUGACAUCUUAAAUACAGUAAGUCCAAAAACUACCCCUAACCUGUUCCUUUUAAAAUAACUCAGUUUUUUAUUUCUUUGCUGCCACCUGAAAUAGUUUACCGUUUCGCUGAGUAAAAGCCAACAUGUCAAAAAUGGCCUUAGUUAACUUAUAAGAAAAGGCCUUUGCCACAUAAUCUCUUUAUUUCCUGCCACUGGCCUCCUCACUCAUGUUGGCCCAACCACAUUGACAUUUGUUGCCCCUUGCAGACAUCAGGCAUACCCUCACCUCAGUAUUUUUCUCUUGCUUUUCUCUGCAUGAAAUUCUCUUACCAUAGAGAUCUGCUUGGCUAACAU
RNAcentral lists this long non-coding RNA (349 nucleotides) under Homo sapiens (human). RNAcentral describes it as "HSALNT0208671". Lineage: Eukaryota; Metazoa; Chordata; Mammalia; Primates; Hominidae. The record is from RNAcentral.